This 419-nucleotide ribosomal RNA is filed under the name bacterium. Its description in RNAcentral is "partial 16S ribosomal RNA". It matches the Rfam family "Bacterial small subunit ribosomal RNA", at positions 355 to 776 of the family's 1533-position model. The record is from RNAcentral.
UGGGGGAUAUUGCACAAUGGGCGAAAGCCUGAUGCAGCGACGCCGCGGGGGGGAUGAAGGCCGUCGGGUUGUAAACUUCUUUAGGAAUGAACAAGGCAUGCUAAUGGGGGUGUGGAGGGUAGGGGUCGAUUAGCGCGGGCUAACUACGUGCAAGCAGCCGCGGUAAUACGUAGGGAGCGAGCGUUGUCCGGAAGUAUUGGGCGUAAAGGGCGUGUAGGGUGCUGGUGGCGUAUGACGUGAAAGCUCAUGGCUUAACUGUGGGUUUGCGGUGGGUACGGGCUUGGUUGAGUGCAGUAGGGGAGGCUGGAAUUCCUUGUGUAGCGUUGGAAUGCGCAUAUAUCAGGAGGAAUACCGGUGGCGAAGGCGGGUCUCUGGGCUGUUCCUUACACUGAGGAGCGAAAGCAUGGGGAGCGAACAGG